AAUUAGGCAUCUUUCUCCUCAGGGGGAACUAUAAUGCCUCUAAAGAAGAAGCAGUGUUUGUAUGUACACCAUUCACACCGUGGGAGGCUGGUCUUCAGUGGAUUUUGUCUUGGCACCUGAAGCAGGCUGCACUUGGAAGCUCACGUCUGUAAUCCCAGCAAUUUGGGAGGCUGAAGAAGAAGGAUUACUUGAGCCCAGGAGGUUGAGGCUGCAGUGACCCAUGAUGGUGACACUACACUUUAGCCUGAGUGACCGAGCAAGACCCAGUCUCAAAAAGAAACAAAAAUACAUAUGAUAGACUUAAAUAAUAAAAU
This 314-nucleotide long non-coding RNA is filed under the name Homo sapiens (human). RNAcentral's name for it is "HSALNT0205125". Lineage: Eukaryota; Metazoa; Chordata; Mammalia; Primates; Hominidae. The record is from RNAcentral.